UACGUAGGGUGCGAGCGUUGUCCGGAAUUACUGGGCAUAAAGAGCUCGUAGGCGGUUUGUCGCGUUGUUCGUGAAAACUCACAGCUCAACUGUGGGCGUGCGGGCGAUACGGGCAGACUGGAGUACUGCAGGGGAGACUGGAAUUCCUGGUGUAGCGGUGGAAUGCGCAGAUAUCAGGAGGAACACCGGUGGCGAAGGCGGGUCUCUGGGCAGUAACUGACGCUGAGGAGCGAAAGCGUGGGGAGCGAACAGG
RNAcentral lists this ribosomal RNA (253 nucleotides) under uncultured bacterium. RNAcentral describes it as "partial 16S ribosomal RNA". It matches the Rfam family "Bacterial small subunit ribosomal RNA", at positions 524 to 776 of the family's 1533-position model. The record is from RNAcentral.